UGAUAAUUCAGGUUGUGCAU
This 20-nucleotide non-coding RNA is filed under the name Arabidopsis thaliana (thale cress). Lineage: Eukaryota; Viridiplantae; Streptophyta; Magnoliopsida; Brassicales; Brassicaceae. The record is from RNAcentral.